Molecule: non-coding RNA, 275 nt
Organism: Colletotrichum gloeosporioides
Lineage: Eukaryota; Fungi; Ascomycota; Sordariomycetes; Glomerellales; Glomerellaceae
Source: Rfam
CUUUCUUCAACAAACACGGGUCUGUGUCCAGCGAUCCUCUUCCCGUCCGCGGGUUAGAGUUGAUUACUGCGACAGCUCGAUCACCAAAGGAGCCAUCAAAUUCUCAUGAUGUCAAUCUUCCGAUCGACAGAUCCAAGAGAGACCGGUCUUUGGGAAGCCAUGUUCGCUUCGGCUUGAGCGUGGUGGAACAUUGUACUGGGGACGUCAUAUUCCUACCCCUUCAUCCGAGAUCGUCGAUCAAUGAGGUUAGGGAAAACCAUGACUUGCCCAAAUAU